This 464-nucleotide ribosomal RNA is filed under the name uncultured bacterium. RNAcentral describes it as "partial 16S ribosomal RNA". It matches the Rfam family "Bacterial small subunit ribosomal RNA", at positions 29 to 507 of the family's 1533-position model. The record is from RNAcentral.
ACGAACGCUGGCGGCGUGCUUAACACAUGCAAGUCGAACGGAAAGGCCCUGCUUGCAGGGUACUCGAGUGGCGAACGGGUGGGUAACACGUGGGUGAUCUGCCCUGCACUUCGGGAUCAGCCUGGGAAACUGGGUCUAAUACCGGAUAGGAGCCAUUUUUAGUGUGAUGGUUGGAAAGUUUUUUCGGUGUAGGAUGAGCUCGCGGCCUCUCAGCUUGUUGGUGGGGUUAUGGCCUACCAAGGCGGCGACGGGUAGCCGGCCUGGGAGGGUGGACGGCCACAUUGGGACUGGGACACGGCCCAGACUCCUACGGGAGGCAGCGGUGGGGAAUAUUGCACAAUGGGCGCAAGCCUGAUGCAGCGACGCCGCGUGGGGGAUGACGGCCUUCGGGUUGUAAACUCCUUUCGCUAGGGACGAAGCUUUUUGUGACGGUACCUAGAUAAGAAGCACCGGCUAACUACGUG